GCUAAGAAUAUUCCGCAAUGGACGAAAGUCUGACGGAGCGACGCCGCGUGGAUGAAGAAGGCCGAAAGGUUGUAAAGUUCUUUUGUUGGGGAAGAAUAACCAUGGGAGGGAAUGCCCGUGGGAUGACAUGAACCGACGAAUAAGCCCCGGCUAACUACGUGCCAGCAGCCGCGGUAACACGUAGGGGGCGAGCGUUGUUCGGAAUUACUGGGCGUAAAGGGCAUGUAGGCGGUCUUGUAAGCUUGGCGUGAAAGACCACGGCUCAACCGUGGGAUUGCGUUGAGAACUGCGAGGCUUGAGUGACGGAGAGGGAGCUAGAAUUCCUGGUGUAGGGGUGGAAUCUGUAGAGAUCAGGAAGAAUACCAAUGGCGAAGGCAAGCUCCUGGCCGAUGACUGACGCUGAGGUGCGAAAGUGUGGGGAUCAAACAGGAUUAGAUACCCGUGUAGUCC
This 450-nucleotide ribosomal RNA is filed under the name uncultured bacterium. RNAcentral's name for it is "partial 16S ribosomal RNA". It matches the Rfam family "Bacterial small subunit ribosomal RNA", at positions 354 to 796 of the family's 1533-position model. The record is from RNAcentral.